UUUAUUGGAGAGUUUGAUCCUGGCUCAGGAUGAACGCUGGCGGCGUGCCUAAUACAUGCAAGUCGAGCGGA
RNAcentral lists this ribosomal RNA (71 nucleotides) under Bacillus anthracis (anthrax bacterium). Its description in RNAcentral is "partial 16S ribosomal RNA". It matches the Rfam family "Bacterial small subunit ribosomal RNA", at positions 1 to 70 of the family's 1533-position model. The record is from RNAcentral. RNAcentral also lists the same sequence under 1 other name. Lineage: Bacteria; Bacillati; Bacillota; Bacilli; Caryophanales; Bacillaceae.